Volvox carteri f. nagariensis is the source of this 47-nucleotide non-coding RNA. NCBI's taxonomy places the organism in Eukaryota, Viridiplantae, Chlorophyta, Chlorophyceae, Chlamydomonadales, Volvocaceae. The record is from Rfam.
AAAUCGGUGUUUUUUAACACCACCAUAUUGAAACGCAAGGACCUUGU